This 252-nucleotide ribosomal RNA is filed under the name uncultured bacterium. Its description in RNAcentral is "partial 16S ribosomal RNA". It matches the Rfam family "Bacterial small subunit ribosomal RNA", at positions 81 to 334 of the family's 1533-position model. The record is from RNAcentral.
UACUUGGGUGGCGACCGGCGCACGGGUGAGUAACGCGUAUCCAACCUGCCGAUGACUCGGGGAUAGCCUUUCGAAAGAAAGAUUAAUACCCGAUGGCAUAGUUCUUCCGCAUGGUAGAACUAUUAAAGAAUUUCGGUCAUCGAUGGGGAUGCGUUCCAUUAGGUUGUUGGCGGGGUAACGGCCCACCAAGCCUUCGAUGGAUAGGGGUUCUGAGAGGAAGGUCCCCCACAUUGGAACUGAGACACGGUCCAA